UCCAGACUCCUACGGGAGGCAGCAGUGGGGAAUAUUGGGCAAUGGGCGCAAGCCUGACCCAGCAACGCCGCGUGAAGGAAGAAGGCUUUCGGGUUGUAAACUUCUUUUAAGGGGGAAGAGGAGAAGACGGUACCCCUUGAAUAAGCCACAGCUAACUACGUGCCAGCAGCCGCGGUAAUACGUAGGUGGCAAGCGUUGUCCGGAUUUACUGGGUGUAAAGGGCGUGCGGCCGGGAGGACAAGUCAGAUGUGAAAUCCCGCGGCUCAACCGCGGAACUGCAUUUGAAACUGUUUUUCUUGAGUACCGGAGAGGUCAUCGGAAUUCCUUGUGUAGCGGUGAAAUGCGUAGAUAUAAGGAAGAACACCAGUGGCGAAGGCGGAUGGCUGGACGGCAACUGACGGUGAGGCGCGAAAGCGUGGGGAGCAAACAGGAUUAGAUACCCCAGUA
Molecule: ribosomal RNA, 447 nt
Filed under: uncultured bacterium
Lineage: Bacteria
Description: bacterial SSU rRNA
Rfam family: Bacterial small subunit ribosomal RNA
Source: RNAcentral